AGUGAACGCUGGCGGUAGGCCUAACACAUGCAAGUCGAACGGCAGCACAGUAAGAGCUUGCUCUUACGGGUGGCGAGUGGCGGACGGGUGAGGAAUACAUCGGAAUCUACUUUUUCGUGGGGGAUAACGUAGGGAAACUUACGCUAAUACCGCAUACGACCUACGGGUGAAAGCAGGGGAUCUUCGGGCCUUGCGCGAUUGAAUGAGCCGAUGUCGGAUUAGCUAGUUGGCGGGGUAAAGGCCCACCAAGGCGACGAUCCGUAGCUGGUCUGAGAGGAUGAUCAGCCGCACUGGAACUGAGACACGGUCCAGACUCCUACGGGAGGCAGCAGUGGGGAAUAUUGGACAAUGGGCGCAAGCCUGAUCCAGCCAUACCGCGUGGGUGAAGAAGGCCUUCGGGUUGUAAAGCCCUUUUGUUGGGAAAGAAAAGCAGCAGGUUAAUACCCCGCUGUUCUGACGGUACCCAAAGAAUAAGCACCGGCUAACUUCGUG
RNAcentral lists this ribosomal RNA (492 nucleotides) under uncultured bacterium. RNAcentral's name for it is "partial 16S ribosomal RNA". It matches the Rfam family "Bacterial small subunit ribosomal RNA", at positions 29 to 507 of the family's 1533-position model. The record is from RNAcentral.